RNAcentral lists this ribosomal RNA (540 nucleotides) under uncultured Corynebacterium sp. RNAcentral describes it as "bacterial SSU rRNA". It matches the Rfam family "Bacterial small subunit ribosomal RNA", at positions 142 to 700 of the family's 1533-position model. The record is from RNAcentral. Lineage: Bacteria; Bacillati; Actinomycetota; Actinomycetes; Mycobacteriales; Corynebacteriaceae.
GGUAAGCCUGGGAAACUGGGUCUAAUACCGAAUAUGACCACUUCUUGGAUGGGUGGUGGAAAGCUUUUGCGGUAUGGGAUGAGCUCGCGGCCUAUCAGCUUGUUGUGGGGUAAUGGCCUACCAAGGCGUCGACGGGUAGUCGGCCUGAGAGGGUGUACGGCCACAUUGGGACUGAGAUACGGCCCAGACUCCUACGGGAGGCAGCAGUGGGGAAUAUUGCACAAUGGGCGCAAGCCUGAUGCAGCGACGCCGCGUGGGGGAUGACGGCCUUCGGGUUGUAAACUCCUUUCGCAACCGACGAAGCUUUUGUGACGUAGGUUGAGAAGAAGCACCGGCUAACUACGUGCCAGCAGCCGCGGUAAUACGUAGGGUGCGAGCGUUGUCCGGAAUUACUGGGCGUAAAGAGCUCGUAGGUGGUUUGUCGCGUCGUUUGUGGAAUACCGCAGCUUAACUGCGGGGUUGCAGGCGAUACGGGCAUAACUUGAGUGCUGUAGGGGAGACUGGAAUUCCUGGUGUAGCGGUGGAAUGCGCAGAUAUCAG